UACGUAGGGUCCGCAGCGUUUGUCCGGAUUAUUGGGCGUAAAGAGCUCGUAGGCGGUCUGUGCGUCGGAUGUGAAAACUCGGGGCUCAACCUCCGACUUGCAUCGAUACGGGCAGGCUAGAUGUCGGGCAGGGGAGACUGGAAUUCCUGGUGUAGCGGUGAAAUGCGCAGAUAUCAGGAGGAACACCGGUGGCGAAGGCGGGUCUCUGGGCCGAUGACUGACGCUGAGGAGCGAAAGCGUGGGGAGCGAACAGG
This 254-nucleotide ribosomal RNA is filed under the name uncultured bacterium. Its description in RNAcentral is "partial 16S ribosomal RNA". It matches the Rfam family "Bacterial small subunit ribosomal RNA", at positions 524 to 776 of the family's 1533-position model. The record is from RNAcentral.